GAUGAACGCUAGCGGCAGGCUUAAUACAUGCAAGUCGAACGGUAACAGCGAAGUUUACUUUGGCUGACGAGUGGCGCACGGGUGAGUAACGCGUACACAAUCUACCUCUAAGUGGGGAAUAGUCUAGGGAAACUUAGAAUAAUACCCCAUGGUAUUAUCGGAUCGCAUGGUCUGAUAAUUAAAGCUCCGGUGCUUGGAGAUGAGUGUGCGUCCUAUUAGCUAGAUGGUAAGGUAACGGCUUACCAUGGCAGUGAUAGGUAGGGGGCGUGAGAGCGUGGUCCCCCACACGGGUACUGAGACACGGACCCG
Molecule: ribosomal RNA, 309 nt
Filed under: uncultured bacterium
Lineage: Bacteria
Description: bacterial SSU rRNA
Rfam family: Bacterial small subunit ribosomal RNA
Source: RNAcentral